UUAGAAGUAAGGGCCAGACUGUAAAAGGGCAGCACGGCUGAGGGUUUGCUGCUUCGUGCUUGCUGCUGCGCCGGUGCCGUUUUGUUGGCGAUGCAGAGAGCUGGGAUCGAGCCGCGCGCUGCCCCUUCGCCCUUCUGGUCGCUGGUGGCACUAUUGUGGUAGGAGCCCGGCAUGAGCUGGCUGCCGCGGGGGCUGGGGGGCCGCGCUGGGCCGCAGGGUCCCGGUGGAGUGGAGGCGGGUAGCAGGGAAGGAGCUGCUGAACUCAGCUGGGCUCAUUGGAAGCAUCCCUUGGGCCCUUGGCCCCUGGAAGCUCUGCUGUUACUGGAGGACUCGGGAGAUAGCCACUUACGGCACAUGUACUAUAAGGGCCUGAAGAAUUUCCUUACCUUUAGAGAAAGCAUGCCUCUGUCUGGCCAAUUCCAGUGGAUCAAGUGAAAGAGUUCUUGAUCAACAUGGAGUCCCAGAAUCUGCCUCCUGCAAAAAUAAUAAUGUAUAUGGAAGGAUUGUCCUUCAUCUUCAGAAUGGUAGAUCAUCCUGAUCCUCUUCAAGAUCCUGCUAUCUGUCACAGGAUAUCGGGGUUAAAACAUAGGACUGGCCCUUCAAAUGAUCAGUACUCUCCUGUAACUAUUGAAGUGUUAAGGUCUCUGCUGGGGACUCUGGAAUCUGUGUGUAGCUCUCCUUAUGAGUGUAUAUUGUUCUGUGCCAUGUUUACUGUGGCUUUUUUUGGGUGCACUCUGUAUAGAAGAGAUGAUGCCAAAUCACUGACAUAGAGUGCAGCCAGAGCUCCUGUACUUGAGUGACCUCCAGCUGACUGCAGGCAAUGCAAACCUUAGUUUGCAUACAUCCUAUAUGGGCCGACAGAGGAAUUUGAUCCAACUGAGAUUCUAUAAAGAGAUGUGGGUAUGUCCUGUUGAAGCUCUCCACAUCUAUGUGGCAGCACAGCCACAAGGAGAGGGCCCCCUCUUUGUGCACUUGGAUAGUACGGCUGUGACAAAGAGGGAGUUCCUAACUGUCUUCCACUGUGCUCUUGACCUUGCUGGACUCCCUCCAAACCAUUAUGGUGUGCAUUCCUUCCAGCUGGGGAACCGUGAGAGUGGUCUCUCAUGGGUAUUCUGAUGAAGCUGUUAACAGCAUGUUGGUGGUGAAGAUCCUGAAGAUGACAUAGUUCCAUCUGUCUGUUGGGCUUCCAUAGUAAGGGGUAUCUUCUGCAAUGCAGAAAUCAUGUAUCUUACACAGACUGAACUUCAAGUGCUCUGCAAAGUUACAGAGAAGGGAAGUAACUAGUACAAGGUGACUUUUCCCACCUGGAAUUCUUUGAGAGUGGACCAUCACAGUUUUAAAGCUGCUGUGACUUGUGGGUUAGUGUGCAUGUUACUCAGCACGUCUGUUCUCAUUGUAGUUUGAUUUUUGUGUAAUCUUCUAUUAAACUGUUUUCUUUCAA
This is a long non-coding RNA of Pezoporus flaviventris, 1441 nucleotides long. RefSeq lists it as uncharacterized. Lineage: Eukaryota; Metazoa; Chordata; Aves; Psittaciformes; Psittacidae. The transcript is spliced from 2 exons. The record is from RefSeq and is a predicted model, not a curated record.